This 459-nucleotide ribosomal RNA is filed under the name Triticum aestivum (bread wheat). RNAcentral describes it as "partial small subunit ribosomal RNA". The record is from RNAcentral. Lineage: Eukaryota; Viridiplantae; Streptophyta; Magnoliopsida; Poales; Poaceae.
AUGGGAAUCGAAAUCGUCUUUGGAGCAUUGGGAUGCUUCACACAACUAGUUUGCCAUCUUUAUCAGAUAUUCGACUUGAUGAGGAGUACAGCUGAGAGAGUGGAGCUUAUCUCUGUCCUACUAAAUGUUAUACCUAACACACUUUUGGGCGUGGUAUCGAUUGUGAUCACUUACUUGAGGCAUCGAGAGCAACUGUUUAUGAAUAUUUUAGGUUGUCUUAAUUUGAUCUGUUAUGUUCUGGAGUUUAUACUAAUUCUACGAAUGUGUGAUCGAGUGAAAAACUUUUUUGGUUCAGAACGCGAAGGUGACACCGAUGGUAUUCAAACGGCAAAUCUGGGAGUGGCAAGGGAUACACCGAUAACAAGAGCAGAUCCUACAGUUUCUUCUCAAGCAUUUUUUGAUCAUAUUAGAGCCUUGCGUAAUGGCCAUGAGACCCUGGACGACAGCAUGGGUGUGUGA